This 459-nucleotide ribosomal RNA is filed under the name uncultured compost bacterium. Its description in RNAcentral is "bacterial SSU rRNA". It matches the Rfam family "Bacterial small subunit ribosomal RNA", at positions 457 to 914 of the family's 1533-position model. The record is from RNAcentral.
UGUGAAAGCAACCUGACGGUACCAGAGGAAUCAGCAUCGGCUAACUACGUGCCAGCAGCCGCGGUAAUACGUAGGUGGCAAGCGUUGUCCGGAUUUAUUGGGCGUAAAGCGAGCGCAGGCGGAAUGAUAAGUCUGAUGUGAAAGCCCACGGCUCAACCGUGGAACUGCAUCGGAAACUGUCAUUCUUGAGUGCAGAAGAGGAGAGUGGAACUCCAUGUGUAGCGGUGGAAUGCGUAGAUAUAUGGAAGAACACCAGUGGCGAAGGCGGCUCUCUGGUCUGCAACUGACGCUGAGGCUCGAAAGCAUGGGUAGCGAACAGGAUUAGAUACCCUGGUAGUCCAUGCCGUAAACGAUGAGCGCUAGGUGUUGGGGACUUUCCGGUCCUCAGUGCCGCAGCAAACGCAUUAAGCGCUCCGCCUGGGGAGUACGACCGCAAGGUUGAAACUCAAAGGAAUUGAC